UCCCAGAUAGCCAUACUCAAAAUGGAGGCCCUCUCCAGGCCUUGUGAAGGGGAAAUUGCCCACAUUUUGUGUGUUGCUAUGUGGAG
This 86-nucleotide microRNA precursor is filed under the name Cricetulus griseus (Chinese hamster). RNAcentral's name for it is "miRNA (ENSCGRG00000021303.1)". Lineage: Eukaryota; Metazoa; Chordata; Mammalia; Rodentia; Cricetidae. The record is from RNAcentral.